AGUCAUAUGCUUGUCUCAAAGAUUAAGCCAUGCAUGUCUCAGUACAAGCCAAAUUAAGGUGAAACCGCGAAAGGCUCAUUAAAUCAGUUAUGGUUCCUUAGAUCGUACCCACAAUUACUUGGAUAACUGUGGUAAUUCUAGAGCUAAUACAUGCAAAUAGAGCUUCGACCGGAGACGGAAGAAGUGCUUUUAUUAGAUCAAAACCAAUCGGCGACGGGUAAAACCGUUGUCGUAAUAUUUGGUGACUCUGAAUAACUUUAUGCUGAUCGCACGGUCUAGAACCGGCGACGCAUCUUUCAAAUGUCUGCCUUAUCAACUGUCGAUGGUAGGUUCUGCGCCUACCAUGGUUGUAACGGGUAACGGGGAAUCAGGGUUCGAUUCCGGAGAGGGAGCCUGAGAAACGGCUACCACAUCCAAGGAAGGCAGCAGGCGCGCAAAUUACCCACUCCCGGCACGGGGAGGUAGUGACGAAAAAUAACGAUACGGGACUCAUCCGAGGCCCCGUAAUCGGAAUGAGUACACUUUAAAUCCUUUAACAAGGAUCAAUUGGAGGGCAAGUCUGGUGCCAGCAGCCGCGGUAAUUCCAGCUCCAAUAGCGUAU
RNAcentral lists this ribosomal RNA (601 nucleotides) under Ochthebius sp. IBE AV179. RNAcentral describes it as "SSU rRNA". It matches the Rfam family "Eukaryotic small subunit ribosomal RNA", at positions 22 to 602 of the family's 1831-position model. The record is from RNAcentral. Lineage: Eukaryota; Metazoa; Arthropoda; Insecta; Coleoptera; Hydraenidae.